Molecule: ribosomal RNA, 137 nt
Filed under: Castor canadensis (American beaver)
Lineage: Eukaryota; Metazoa; Chordata; Mammalia; Rodentia; Castoridae
Source: RNAcentral
UUCCAUGACCAUACACCCUGAAUAUGCCUAAUCUCAUCUGAUCUCAGAAGCUAGGUAGUGUCAGGCUUGGUUUGUACUUGGAGAGGAGAAAGAGAAAAACAAAAUAAGAGCAGAUGACAUGAUUCCAAGUUUGGAAU